AUGCCGCCGCGCCGCCGGGGUUCUUCGGGCUACCGCGGCGUCCGCGAGCGCCCCAACGGCAGGUACUCCGCGGAGAUCCGGUCCGGCGACGUCUGUCUUGGCCACGGCUCGUUUCAGAGCGCGCACGAGGCAGCUCGCGCAUAUGACGCGGCGGCGUGGCGCUUGGACAGGCCCCGGUCGCGGGUGAACUUUCGCGGCGUCUUCACGCGCGAGCAGGCGCAGCGCGUCGCUCCUCCGCCGCGUCUAAUCACCGACCAGGACCGUGCGGACCACGUGCGGCAGCAGCGCCGCCUCCUCAUCGUCGAGGAGGACGAGCGAGCCAUGGCGGAGUGGCGCCGUCCCCACCCGUAG
This 351-nucleotide ribosomal RNA is filed under the name Triticum aestivum (bread wheat). RNAcentral describes it as "partial small subunit ribosomal RNA". Lineage: Eukaryota; Viridiplantae; Streptophyta; Magnoliopsida; Poales; Poaceae. The record is from RNAcentral.